GAUGAACGCUGGCGGCGUGCCUAAUACAUGCAAGUCGAGCGAACAGACGAGGAUCUUGCUCCUCUGACGUUAGCGGCGGACGGGUGAGUAACACGUGGAUAACCUACCUAUAAGACUGGGAUAACGUCGGGAAACCGGAGCUAAUACCGGAUAAUAUAUUGAACCGCAUGGUUCAAUAGUGAAAUACGGUUUUUCUGUCACUUAUAGAUGGAUCCGCGCCGCAUUAGCUAGUUGGUAAGGUAACGGCUUACCAAGGCAACGAUGCGUAGCCGACCUGAGAGGGUGAUCGGCCACACUGGAACUGAGACACGGUCCAGACUACUAAGGGAGGGAGCAGUAGGGAAUGGUCCGCAAUGGGCGGAAGCCUGACGGAGCAACGCCGCGUGAGUGAUGAAGGUCUUCGGAUCGUAAAAAUCUGUUAUUAGGGAAGAACAAAUGUGUAAGUAAAUAUGCCCGUAUUGACGGUACCUAAAGAGAAAGCAACGGCUAACUACGUG
This 497-nucleotide ribosomal RNA is filed under the name uncultured bacterium. Its description in RNAcentral is "partial 16S ribosomal RNA". It matches the Rfam family "Bacterial small subunit ribosomal RNA", at positions 28 to 507 of the family's 1533-position model. The record is from RNAcentral.